GAGGCAGGCGGAUCACCUGAGGUCAGGAGUUCAAGACCAGCCUGGCCAACAUGGUGAAACCCCUGUCUCUACUAAAAAUACAAAAAAUUAGCCGGGUGUGGUGGCACGCACCUAUAAUCCCAGCUACUCGGGGGGGCUGAGGCAGGAGAAUCGCUUGAACCUGGAAGGUGGAGGCUGCAGUGAGCUGAGAUCGUGCCAUUGCACUCCAGCCUGGGCAACAAGAGUGAAACGCCAUCUAAAAAAAAAAAAGGUAACAAAAAACUCUCCCUCAAAUUCGUGUUGAUACCUAAUUCCCAAUGUGAUAACAUUUGGAGGUGCGGCCUUUGGGAGGUGAUGCAGUCAUGAGGGUGGAGACCUCAUGAAUGGGAUUAGUGCCCUUAUAAAAGAGACCACCAGAGAGCUUCCUCUCCCCUUCCUUCAUCUGAGGACACAGUGAGAAGCCAGCUGUCUAUGAACCAGAAAGCAGGCCCUCAUCACACAUUGAUUCUGCUGGCGUUUUGAUCUUGGACUUCCCAGCCUCCCUGUGAGAAAUGAAUUUCUGUUGCUUACAGGCCACCUGGUCUAUAGUCCUCUGUUACAGCAGCCUGAAUGAACCAAGACACCCAUGUACACAUUUACAAACAAAACAAGUACGGCCUAGCCCACAUUCUCAGGAGCUUACAAUUUUCCUUUAAGUAAAGUUACGUGGGAAGACCCUGAACUGUGGAGCAAAAAGGGCCUGCGUUGAGACUAGCUCUCCUGCUUGUCGUGCUGUGGUCUUGAGAAGCACCUGAACUCUUUGACCCCUUUCUCCUCAUCUGUGGAAUUAGGGUAACUAUGCCAUUCCCCAGGCUUGCUACCAGGAGGAGAAUGCGGGGACAGACUUGGGAGCAGCUCACAUUCCUGAAGAAGUUAACGUUCUAAGGUAUGGUGGUGACAAGCCGGACCGGGCAGAAUACAUUCUUCCCGUGGUGAAACAGAGGAAAAUAAAGCUGGACAGACAGUGAAGGGCCCUGUCAUGGAAAGCUCCAGCCAGACAGAGCGGUCUGGAGUUUGUUUUGCAGGCAGUGGUCAUGGGGAAAGGCUUUGUGAAACUCACGGUUCAGCGGCUGAGUCUCACCGCCUGUGUAGCUUGGGUGGGGUGGAGUGAGACUGGAGGCUGGGAAGCACCUGAGAGGUGUCAAGGGCUGCCGUGUGGACUUAGCCUGGGGCAGUGGGAGGGGUAGGGGUGGAAGGCAGGCCACAGGAGUGAAAAUAGGGCCCCGGUUUCCAGGGCGUCGUUCCCCCUGCAUCUUGCUCUCUGCCUUUCUCCUCUUGUCCUUCUGUCUCCACCCCUAUCCCCAUCUCCCAAAUGCUUCAGAGCAUAAAGGUGCUGCCCAGCCAAAAUCACCCGCACAAACUCCAGGUAAACUUGGUCUGGGCAGCUUUGAGUGGGUCAUGAGUGGAGGAAGGGCAGGCCCACUCUUUCCUUAGUAUAUGAGUGAGAAAAGCGACCGCUGGUUAGAUCUCACAGGAAACCAGAGCCUUGUGGCAGCACCUGACUUCAGGUGCAGCACAGCCCACGGAGUGAGAAGCUGACACCUCUGUGCCUGCUGAGGCAGGCUGCUCCUUCUACACCAGGCCAGGGAAAUCAGGUCACCCACUCCAACAGUCUGCCGGACGCUGGGGACUGACUGCUGCCUCUGGGGCAUCCACCACAAAGGAUUCAUGGACUCACUGACAGGGCCAGGCACCUGGCUAAGGAUCUCAAACUGGUGCGGCCCACGGGUCCAUUCAAUCUAUAGAUGGGUUUUGUGCGGCCAACACCGUCCUUCUUGUCUACCUGUUGUAUAUGCAUUCUGGCCUUGCCCCUGAGUUUAUGAAUUUACCAACCCCACCUUAGCAGGGCAUGAAGAAAUGCAAAGGCGCUCCAGGAGCUUCUGAUUUUGCUGGGAAAACAAAACAAGUAUACAGGCAAAGAGGGAGGACAAUGGCAGACCCAAUGCAUGGGGCAGUCAUCUGCAUUUCUGAGUUGAAUUUAGAGAAGAGAUCUUCUCCCACAGAUGAUAAAGGGGUGCAUAGAGGUGAGGUGCACACGGCCUGGGGGAAGUCAGCCCUGGGAUGAGCAUGGGAGAGGGAGGUUCCCCAGUGGGGAAGGACACGAGGGUAUGGACUGGAGAAAAUCUGCAUGGCUGGGCCCCAUUCCACAAACAGAGGGCCCCGAGAGGUGUCUGCGUAAGGGAGUGAUGAUGAAGGCACAUGGGGAGAGUGUACAGGACUGGGCCACCCAGGAAUCAAUAAUCUGGAAAAGGUGGCAGAGUGGGGAGCUCUGAUUCAGGAGAGGCACUGCUUUGGGAGAAAUCUCAGAGGAUGUAAAGACUGAUGCCGUGUGGAAGUUGGAUUCAAAGGACACCAGGCUUGAAGCUUCAGAGUAUGUAAGAGAGGUGCAGCUCUGGUUAUUGAAGCAGGGGAAUCAUGAGAGGGAGGUUGCUCAGGGUGGGAGGUGAGAAGCUGAGACAUUUUGGUUUAAAUGUUAUAUUUAACAGAAGAGAUAUGCAGCUUACAUUGAGAGCUAUGGGGCAGGACAUGGAGGCCUGGUGGAAAAGUGCAUGUGGAGGUGAUGAUUUAGGGCAGGGAUGGAUUCGGUGAAACCCCGAAAAAAAUGUGGAGGGACAGAUACUGGGGAUAAGGAAAAAGGAAAUUGUUGUGGAACUGGAGAGGUGGGGUGUACACAGGUGUCAGGGGAGAAGACAGUCCUAGGGAAGUGCUCUAUUAGCAUUACCAAUUGCAGAGGUUUCAGAAAGAGUGCUGAGAAGAGGCUGGGGCGUCUGAAGCUAAGGGGCAACAAGAUUUUCAGCAGGGGUGCGGAAACGGGCAAUACCUUUCAGGGUAGAGGAGAGCAGGUGCAGGGGAAGGAAGGUGGACUGGUAGAGACUGCUAUCUCAGGGAACAGGCAGUGGAAGUGAUGGGUAGGAAGAAAAAGGAAGGCAUAGAUGUUUGGAGGCAAAAGGGAAGGAGACAGUGAGAAGGAAGUGCUGAAUUUGCUGAGGACAAAGGAGAAAAUGAGACAGAAAGAGGCAGAUGAGGUGGACGGGGUAGACGGAGAUGCUAAUCUUGGAUUUCACAACAGGCUGCAUCCCCUAUCCCUCCACUGUGUGCCAGGCCUACCAGCCUGCACCUGGCCCCAGUACCCCCAGGCCUUGGUCUUUAUUCUUGUGGUUAGGCAGCAUGGAAGUCAGGCAACUGGAUGGACCAGGCAUUCUCUGGGAAUGGCCAAGGGUGUUCAAAGCCCAGGGCUGGGACCCAGAGCACCAGCAAUUAUUCCUUUUCCCGUUUGCUACUGAUUCUUCUUUUCUUCCUUCAUCAUAGGGCCCAUCAGAGCUGGUGGCUAGAAAUCAUCCAGAGGGCUGUAAACAUUAGUGAGGCACUGAGUGGUCCCUGUUUCGGCCAAGGCAUAAGCAGACAGAUGGGAAGUGAAAGUGGGUAACCACUGAAAGGUGAGGGCGAGGGCUGGUUUCAUCAUCAGCGCCGCUGGCAACAAGAGCUAUUAAGAGCCAGCCUUUGGCGAGACAGUAAGGAACUACAGAUUUAAAAUUCCUAGCAGCAAAGCUGUGUCUCUUCAGGGUUUGGUUACCCAUGCUGAUCCCAUAACAACCACCAUGCCAAUGGCAGGGAACAUCAACAAGCAAGGUGGUGACCAUGAGGAUGACCUUGCCACAAAACCAACCAUACACCCCACACCCCUGGGGAAGGAGGCACCCACCAGCUGGGCCCUGUGGGGCUGUUCCAGAAAGUGCAGGUUGGGAGGAGGAUGGAGUGAGGAAAGAGGCCAGGGUCUAAAUGGAAAGGGCCAGUGAAAGGGAGAGACAGGCUUGUUAAUCAAUGACCACUACAGAGUUGGAAAGAGAAGGCAAAGAAAAUGCCUCACUGCUGAGGAUCAGCGUCCAAAGAUUUCAUUCUACUGAGAGUUAAAGAGAUGCCAAAGCCGGGAUUAAUGUUGGCAAAGGAGAUAUGGAUGGGCCAUGACACCACCAGCCAUAUGUAAUCAGAAGGGGAUCAAAAAACAUCCCCAGCCUUGAAAUUGGCAUUUUCUCUUAUGUGCUGGGUGGACAUUUGGCAAUAUCAUAUAAAAUGAAAAUAUUUGCAUAGCCCAUGACCCAGAGAGUCCACUUGCAUAAGGACGUGCUUUAUAAUGGUCUAUUCCACUGCAGAUAAUAAAAGAAGGCGUGCAAGAAGAUCUAUAUGCAGUGACGUGCAAAGGUAUCAAGAACAAGUUGCGAAACCCCAUGGUAUGAUUUCAUCUGAUUAAAAGAAAAAAGGUGGUAGGUGCUGAAUGGUUGAAUAAAUGAACAGUCCUAAAAUGGAUAUAUUUUGGGGCAACAGUAAGUUGCCCCCAGGAAGAAAAUCACUUUUGGAAAAUAAAACUGGCAAGAAUCUAUGCUAAAUGGAUGAGACCAGCCACAGAAGCACUUCAUCCUAAAAGAUGGUAAAGGUGGUGUAUACAAAAUUAGGCCGGGUGCAGUGGGUUAUGGCUGUAAUCUCAGCACUUUGGGAGGCCUAGGUGGGUGGAUUGCUUGAGCCCUGGAGUUCGAGACCAGCCUGGGCAACAUGGUGAAACCCAGUCUCUACAAAAAAUACAAAAAUUAGCCAUUCGUGGUGGGAUGCAACUGUAGUACCAGGUACUGGGGAGGCAGAGGAAGGAGGAUCACCUGAACCUGGGAGGUCAAGGCUCCAGCGAGCUGAGAUUGCACCACUGUACUCCAACCUGGGCAACAGAGUGAGGCCUUGUGACAAAAAAACAAAACAAAACAAAACAAAAAACCCAACCAACUUGGGUUGGGCAGGGUGGCUCACGCCUGUAAUCUGAAAACCUUGGGAGGCCGAGGCGGGUGGAUCACUUGAGGUCAGGAGUUUGAGACCAGCCUGGACAACAUGGUGAAACCCUGUCUCUACUAAAAUUACAAAAAUUAGCUGGGCAUGGUGGCAGGAGCCUGUAGUCCCAGCUACUCAGGAGGCUGAGGUGGCAGAAUUGCUUGAACCCAGGAGGCAAGGGUUGCAUUGAGCUGAGAUUGUGCCAUUGCACUCCAGCCUGGAUGAUGGAGCAAUACUCCGUCUCAAAAAAUUAAUAAACAAAUAAAAACAAAAUAACAAAACUGGGGGAUACCCAAACCCAAUUAAUAUUCAAAUAAAUGCUUGUUAAAUGCCA
This is a long non-coding RNA of Homo sapiens (human), 5164 nucleotides long. RefSeq lists it as uncharacterized. The transcript has 2 exons. Lineage: Eukaryota; Metazoa; Chordata; Mammalia; Primates; Hominidae. The record is from RefSeq and is a predicted model, not a curated record.